Molecule: ribosomal RNA, 492 nt
Filed under: uncultured bacterium
Lineage: Bacteria
Description: partial 16S ribosomal RNA
Rfam family: Bacterial small subunit ribosomal RNA
Source: RNAcentral
AGUGAACGCUGGCGGUAGGCCUAACACAUGCAAGUCGAACGGCAGCACAGUAAGAGCUUGCUCUUACGGGUGGCGAGUGGCGGACGGGUGAGGAAUACAUCGGAAUCUACUUUUUCGUGGGGGAUAACGUAGGGAAACUUACGCUAAUACCGCAUACGACCUACGGGUGAAAGCAGGGGAUCUUCGGACCUUGCGCGAUUGAAUGAGCCGAUGUCGGAUUAGCUAGUUGGCGGGGUAAAGGCCCACCAAGGCGACGAUCCGUAGCUGGUCUGAGAGGAUGAUCAGCCCCACUGGAACUGAGACACGGUCCUGACUCCUACGGGAGGCAGCAGUGGGGAAUAUUGGACAAUGGGCGCAAGCCUGAUCCAGCCAUACCGCGUGUGUGAAGAAGGCCUUUGGGUUGUAAAGCCCUUUUGUUGGGAAAGAAAAGCAGCAGGUUAAUACCCCGCUGUUCUGACGGUACCCAAAGAAUAAGCACCGGCUAACUUCGUG